RNAcentral lists this ribosomal RNA (495 nucleotides) under uncultured bacterium. Its description in RNAcentral is "bacterial SSU rRNA". It matches the Rfam family "Bacterial small subunit ribosomal RNA", at positions 30 to 517 of the family's 1533-position model. The record is from RNAcentral.
AUUGAACGCUGGCGGCAUGCCUUACACAUGCAAGUCGAACGGCAGCAUGGGUGCUUGCACCUGAUGGCGAGUGGCGAACGGGUGAGUAAUGCAUCGGAACGUACCCGGAAGUGGGGGAUAACGUAGCGAAAGUUACGCUAAUACCGCAUAUUCUGUGAGCAGGAAAGCGGGGGAUCGCAAGACCUCGCGCUUCCGGAGCGGCCGAUGUCGGAUUAGCUAGUUGGCGGGGUAAAGGCCCACCAAGGCAACGAUCCGUAGCGGGUCUGAGAGGAUGAUCCGCCACACUGGGACUGAGACACGGCCCAGACUCCUACGGGAGGCAGCAGUGGGGAAUUUUGGACAAUGGGCGCAAGCCUGAUCCAGCCAUGCCGCGUGAGUGAAGAAGGCCCUCGGGUUGUAAAGCUCUUUUGUCCGGAAAGAAAGCAAUCGGUUAAUACCCGGUUGUUCUGACGGUACCGGAAGAAUAAGCACCGGCUAACUUCGUGCCAGCAGCCG